Anolis carolinensis (green anole) is the source of this 1590-nucleotide long non-coding RNA. RefSeq lists it as uncharacterized. The transcript is spliced from 3 exons. The record is from RefSeq and is a predicted model, not a curated record. NCBI's taxonomy places the organism in Eukaryota, Metazoa, Chordata, Lepidosauria, Squamata, Anolidae.
GUUAAGGUUUGGGAAGGAUAAUGCAGAAUCAAAACAGGAGUUGUGGUUCCAAAACAAUUAACUUCGCUAAAUUCUGUCUCCCCAUUUCUGCCCCCAUAAGUUUCACAUAAGCCCCACUAUAUACUGUGUUGUUGUUGUCUUGUUUUGGAAAUCUGAACAGAACACAUGUCCUGAAUGUUCACUAAAACAUCUUGUUGCAGGUAUCCAUUUCACCUUCAUAUAGGGUUCAAUUUAAAUUUUACAAAUAACCAUGUCAGAAGAUAUGUAAUGGUCAGCAGCAAGGAGACCUGAACUGAAUUUCCCAUCUAGUAUUAAGCAUAAUGAAUGAUUUUGGCUUAGCUUACUCCACAUAGUUCUUUCUCUCCCUGAGAAAAAAGGCUGGAAUUAGUUUUUUAAAACUGAAUUGCAAGAGAGCUAUUGAAUACUGCAUCUCUUUAACCUCAUUUUUAUCUGGUUUACACUUUGUUUUUAAUCGUCAUUCAAACAAAUAUAGAGGGUACCUAAAGAGUAGACAUACAGCACUUUCUGUGUCAUUUAAUUUGUAUAUGUUUAGGCAAAUGGCAAACAAUGCACUGGGGAUAAAUAAUGUCUAGGCCAAUUAUGCAGUGUAAAAAUGAAAUCCAUAAAACAGUUAAAUAGAAAUAAGUUAUGCUGAUUGCAUCUUGAUAAAGCUUGGCUAUUAAUGUCCUUUUUGAGCCCUCUCAGGUACCAUUAAUAAUUCUGUGUCCUGAAUGAGAUAUCCACUUCCUGGAGCUUGUUAUUGGGUACAAUUCCUGUAUCACCCAGGUAGAAUAUGGACAACAACCACAUUGUUUGGAAAUUAUGAGAGCUGUAGUCCAAAAUGUGACUUUCCCAAGUUUUGUUGUUUCCCAUAUAUAAUGAUCCUUGGCACUAUUGUCUUAUGCCUCUCAAUAAUAAUUUUAGUAGAACUGAAAGACACCUCGACAAUAAUUUAGUCUAUUCUAGAGGCAAGUGGUGGCUCAUAUCUCAUUGGUGGUCAUAGUGGAGUGUCUGCAGCUCCACUUUAAGAAAAACUUUCAAAGUUGCUGAACCUACUCUGGGUAUAGGAUUCAGUACUUUGGCUAGUUCUAUUAAAGCCUGGAGUGGAUUCAUUGCUCCAUUUACAUGGAAGCCAUUAGAUGUUUAUUCAUUUACUCAAUACAGAAUCUGCAAUGGAGGAUACAAUUGCAGGAUCUGUACAAGCUAUUUAGCUUUUUCUUCAACAAGUCUCCUAAAGAGGAGUCCACAAUGUCCUGAGGAAGGCACCUGAAGGAAAAGACGGGAGGAAGGAUACUUUUUCUUCCUAAUAUUCCAAAGACAAAAGAAAAGGCAGUCCAAAGAAAUGAAAUUGAUUUCUGUGCCACCUUCCUCCCAAAUCUUGGUUUGUACGAGAUAAUUUUAAAAAGAGCUACAACCCUUCACACUAUUACAGCAUUACAUUAUAGUGUUAAAUACAAUGCUUUCUAAUAAAAAUGGACUUUUCUGAAGAAUUAAAAUUGUUUGUAAAUAAAGAAUUGAAUUAAAGCAGCUUUAACAGAUGUGAAUAAAAUGCCUCACAUCUAUCCAUUAAAAGUUCUUUUCUCAGGAGCC